Homo sapiens (human) is the source of this 3644-nucleotide long non-coding RNA. NCBI's taxonomy places the organism in Eukaryota, Metazoa, Chordata, Mammalia, Primates, Hominidae. The record is from Ensembl.
AGGCGGGGCUGGCUGUUGGAGGAAUGUGCGAGGAUCUCCGUGGCCGGUGUCUGAAGUCGUCAGUUUACUGCUUGUAAUGAACAUAGUGAUCACUGGGAACCUGGAAGUAGAGACUCCUUUGCGCCGUCCCGCCGUCCCUCUGGCUGCUGCGAAUCCCCCCGCCAGCCUCCAGGACCCCGGGCUGGCUCAACGCCCCCACCGGCCCCGCCGCCCCAGGGCCCGCUACGCGCCCGGCAUAAUGGGAGAAAAAUCAGGACGGAAAGGCCCAGCCCCUCGCCAUGCAGACGGGAAGCUCGGCCUGCACAUGUGAGGACCCUUACGCCCCUUGGGGCUUCACCCCCUUUGCUGGCUCCAAUAGUCUGGGUCGGGGCCUCCUUGUCCUGUGGGGGCCUCUGGGCCACAAGAACACAGGCCCGAGCCCCGGCGAGCUCGCGGGCCUCCCACCAGCCGUGCUCAGGCUGCACUUCUGCACCCCAGCCCUGCACCUGCGGGACCACCUGGGUCACUUUUCCAUUCUGAUAAAGUCCCCGUACUUCGUGGCUGCAGGCUCCUCAAGCCCCAGGUCUGUGCAGGGAUGAGCAAAACAGCAGAAUAUCCGCGCUACAUCUUUCUGGAGCACCCAUUUUACUACCAGAUUUGGAAGGAACAAAGUUAAGUAAUUUCCAGGAUAAGUAAUUAAAAUUUUAUGAUGAAAAGGCUGGAAACUCUUCUCCUGGUAAUAACUGUCAGACAUAUCUGUGCCUGAAAUGUCAGACUUUCUCUGAGAAAAAAACUGAGAACCUGUUUCCCAUUAUUUUAAAUAGGAAACAUUAUAGGGCACAGCAAGUCAAUAGAAAAAAACCUACCAAUUUCCUAAUUCACAGUGUGGCAGUAGGUUUAAGUUGCACGUAAGUUAGCAGGUAAAAUGCUUAAAUGUUACCACGUGGUCACCCACAUUUGAUAUGGUUGUUAACAUGCAGUUGCCUUGGAUGCAGUAGCUUUGGCUUGAGACCAGCAACAUCACACGUGAACCUCUCCUUUGUCAACACACCAAAGCUUUUUGAAGUGACCGUCAUGAUCCUGAUGGUCUACCAGUUGUUUCUGGAAGCAACAUGUGGCUUUUCCAGCAAAGUAUUUAGUUUAAAAUGUUGUAAUUUUUGAAAGCUCAAACAUUAUCUCUACAACCAUCAGCCGAAAAAUUUGAGACAGGUUCUUGCUCUUUUGCCUGAACUGCACCAUGAUAGGGGCUCCAGCGAUCCACCUGCUUCAGCCUCCCCAGAAGCUGAGACCACAGGUGUGUGCCACCAUGCCUGUUAAUUUCUAAAUUUUUUGUAGAAAUUACAUCUCCCCACAUUGCCGAGGCUGGUCUUGAACUUCUAGACUCAAGCAAUUUUCCUGACUUGGCCUCCUAAAGUGCUGGAAUUACAGACGUGAGUCACCGACCGCACCUAGCCUGAAAAAUGUUUUGUGAGAUAAAUAGCUGCUAUACAGUUUAGAUAUUAAAAACUAAGAUGUGUUCUCCCAGGAAAGUAAUAAUUUUGGAUAUAUUCUGUGUCACAUCCUGUAUGAUGAAAUAGAUGGCAAAAGAAUCCCAUUUAAUUUAAAGAUGGAAGCUGUAACUUCAAGUAAAUUUGGAGCUGAGGAGUCCUUUCGGGCUAUGACCCCAGAAUUCUGGGGUUCUCUGUACUGAUAUUUUGCUAGUGUCCACACACAAGCAUUCCUUAAUGCUGUGCGUUAAACAAAUAGACCUUCUUUGACCCCAGAUUUCUCUCCAUUUACCAUUCUGUUUCUCUGCUCCAUGCAACUACCUCACCUCAUGUCCUCUCUUGAACCCACUCCUUUCUAGCUUUUCUCCAGGGUACUUUGCUGAAACGACUUUUAUCUCAGUCAUUUAGCUGCAUUUGACACAGAUGAUACAAUUAAGGAGUUCCUCCUUGAAACUCUUUCUUCUGGAUUUUAAAGACCUUCCGUCCUGGAUUCCCUCUCACCUUUUUCUUCAUCCUCCUGCUCCUCCUCUACCAGAUCUCUAGUGAUCCUCUCAGAAUGAUCCCACAUAGUCUCAUAGCUUUAAAUACCAUCCAUCUGUUGAUAACCACUAGGCUUGGGGCCUCUUCCCUGAGGGGAGCACCAAGAGUCUUCCCUGACUCUUUUCCCUUCGCCCCCAACCCCCAUGCAACCAUACAGCAAGUCCUGUGGCUCUUGAGUGCAACCAGCAACCUGAUUCACCAUCUCCAUUUCCACAACCAGUUUCAGUCAUCUUCCUCUCCUACUGGUCUACUGCCAAAAAUCCUCCUACUGCCAAAAAUCCUCCAACCUCCCUGCAUCCUAUCUUGCCCUCCUGCAGUCCAGCCUCCACUCAAGCAUCCAGAGUGAUCUCUUGAAAAUGUUAAAACAUGAUAUAAGCAUACCCCCACCCCUGUGUAAACCCUGCCACUGUCUACUCAUUGCAGUAGAAUAAAAGUUCAGACAACCUGGUGCCUGCCUCUUAAGCCUCAUCUCCUACCCUUGCUUGUUCUUGCUAUGUGGGUCAGAUUUUCCGGUCUCCAGAGCUGAAAACAAUCUUAACUGACAGGCAUUAGAUCAUAGACUCUAUCUACAGCAUAAGGCAUGGAAGGAAAAGUCUGAGAGAAUGAAGGGCCAGAAAAGUUCAUUUAAAAAAAAUAAAAAGCACAGGAAACUGGAAACAUAACUAACCUGUAUGUAUAUACUCAAAAGAACAUGGCAGCAAAAUGAACUCUUUAGAAACUGAGCCAACAGACUUGCAAAUGAAUAGAAAUACCUUUGGUCCUACUCUGAAAACAAAAAGAAUCCUUAGUGAAUAUACAAGAACAAAAAUUGUACACAUUUCUGGGUCAUAAUGCAAUAAAACUAGAAAUAAUCGAAAGAGAAUUUAAAGAUGUUCAGCUUCCUGAAAAUGUCAGAUUAUCCUUUUAAACAAAUUAAUGCCUAUGUCAGGGUGCAAAUCCAAAACACAAAUACCUUGCCUAUAAAAAUAUAUUUUUUCAAGCAACAGUGUAUCAGGAUGUAAGGAGAGAGCUCACUAACUCAGAAGCUCCCAGAGUGACCAGAUGUGUUCAUGGGAACCGGAGCACUGCCCUGGAGUCAUUUGACAUCACCUUAUUACAAACAGGAACAGCCAUGAUGGGGAAUGCUCAGAUGCCAGUAAUAAGUCAGAGGAUUCCCUCCUGAACGGGACCUCCCAGUCCUUUUUGGCACAGGGUUCCAGGUGUGACCACAAAUCCAUGGGUGAGGGCUUUCAAGAUCAACCUGCCCUCAGGCAGUGGAGUGGAAACUGGAACUAGCAGCUACAGUGGAAAAAAGGAAUGUCCUCUCAGAAUAUGUCAUCUGCCCCAUGCAAAGACUCUGGAUCUCAGAAGUCCUCCUGGUAAGGACUCGGAGCCAGACAACUUCAUUUCCUGUCACCUGGGCUGCUCUCCCUCUGACAGCUAUGGAAAUUGGUGAAGCACAGGAACGUAUUGGAAAUGGCAAUGAUGUGCAAUGCCAAUGUGUGGAAGUGUACAAGUUAAGUAAUAUUUUAAAAACAGAACACACAGCAGUUUGCACAAUCUGAUCAAAGCUCUGUCAUGUAUGUUUCUAAACAAGUUUGGAAGAGAAUUUGGAAAUGGCUGAAUUUUUUUAAUAAAGCUCAUGUUUUUAGUUUGUUU